AGACCCGAAACCCGGUGAUCUAGCCAUGGGCAGGUUGAAGGUUGGGUAACACUAACUGGAGGACCGAACCGACUAAUGUUGAAAAAUUAGCGGAUGACCUGUGGCUGGGGGUGAAAGGCCAAUCAAACCGGGAGAUAGCUGGUUCUCCCCGAAAGCUAUUUAGGUAGCGCCUCGUGAAUUCAUCUCCGGGGGUAGAGCACUGUUUCGGCUAGGGGGCCAUCCCGGCUUACCAACCCGAUGCAAACUGCGAAUACCGGAGAAUGUUAUCACGGGAGACACACGGCGGGUGCUAACGUCCGUCGUGAAGAGGGAAACAACCCAGACCGCCAGCUAAGGUCCCAAAGUCAUGGUUAAGUGGGAAACGAUGUGGGAAGGCCCAGACAGCCAGGAUGUUGGCUUAGAAGCAGCCAUCAUUUAAAGAAAGCGUAAUAGCUCACUGGUCGAGUCGGCCUGCGCGGAAGAUGUAACGGGGCUAAACCAUGCACCGAAGCUGCGGCAGCGACGCUUAUGCGUUGUUGGGUAGGGGAGCGUUCUGUAAGCCUGCGAAGGUGGCCUGUGAGGGUUGCUGGAGGUAUCAGAAGUGCGAAUGCUGACAUAAGUAACGAUAAAGCGGGUGAAA
RNAcentral lists this ribosomal RNA (619 nucleotides) under Salmonella enterica subsp. enterica serovar Amager. RNAcentral's name for it is "partial 23S ribosomal RNA". It matches the Rfam family "Bacterial large subunit ribosomal RNA", at positions 711 to 1326 of the family's 2925-position model. The record is from RNAcentral. Lineage: Bacteria; Pseudomonadati; Pseudomonadota; Gammaproteobacteria; Enterobacterales; Enterobacteriaceae.